GUGCCAGCAGCCGCGGUAAUACGAGAGGCCCAAACGUUAUUCGGAUUUACUGGGCUUAAAGAGUCCGUAGGCGGCGCGGAAAGUGGGGUGUGAAAGCCCUCGGCUCAACCGAGGAACUGCGCUCCAAACUACCGUGCUAGAGGAACCUAGAGGUGAGCAGAACUGAUGGUGGAGCGGUGAAAUGCGUUGAUAUCAUCAGGAAUACCGGAGGCGAAGGCGGCUCACUGGGAGUUUUCUGACGCUGAGGGACGAAAGCCAGGGUAGCGAACGGGAUUAGAAACCCGAGUAGUCC
Molecule: ribosomal RNA, 292 nt
Filed under: uncultured bacterium
Lineage: Bacteria
Description: partial 16S ribosomal RNA
Rfam family: Bacterial small subunit ribosomal RNA
Source: RNAcentral